GCUAAUACCGCAUAAGCGCACAGCUUCGCAUGAAGCAGUGUGAAAAACUCUGGUGGUAUACGAUGGAUCCGCGUCUGAUUAGCUAGUUGGCGGGGUAAAGGCCCACCAAGGCGACGAUCAGUAGCCGGCCUGAGAGGGUGAACGGCCACAUUGGGACUGAGACACGGCCCAAACUCCUACGGGAGGCAGCAGUGGGGAAUAUUGCACAAUGGGGGAAACCCUGAUGCAGCGACGCCGCGUGAGUGAAGAAGUAUUUCGGUACGUAAAGCUCUAUCAGCAGGGAAGAAAAUGACGGUACCUGACUAAGAAGCCCCGGCUAACUACGUGCCAGCAGCCGCGGUAAUACGUAGGGGGCAAGCGUUAUCCGGAUUUACUGGGUGUAAAGGGAGCGUAGACGGNAGCGCAAGUCUGGAGUGAAAUCCCAUGGCUUAACCAUGGAACUGCUUUGGAAACUGUGCANCUAGAGUGCAGGAGAGGUAAGCGGAAUUCCUAGUGUAGCGGUGAAAUGCGUAGAUAUUAGGAGGAACACCAGUGGCGAAGGCGGCUUACUGGACUGUAACUGACGUUGAGGCUCGAAAGCGUGGGGAGCAAACAGGAUUAGAUACCCUGNUAGUCCACGCUGUAAACGAUGAUUACUAGGNGU
This 643-nucleotide ribosomal RNA is filed under the name uncultured bacterium. RNAcentral describes it as "bacterial SSU rRNA". It matches the Rfam family "Bacterial small subunit ribosomal RNA", at positions 162 to 823 of the family's 1533-position model. The record is from RNAcentral.